Long non-coding RNA from Spinacia oleracea (spinach), 815 nucleotides. RefSeq lists it as uncharacterized. Lineage: Eukaryota; Viridiplantae; Streptophyta; Magnoliopsida; Caryophyllales; Amaranthaceae. The transcript has 2 exons. The record is from RefSeq and is a predicted model, not a curated record.
UCGGUUUUUUCAUGAAAUGCCCCCGAGGUUUGCAAAAACACACCAAAUACCCUCGCGUCUUUUGAAUCACAUAAUAUACCCCUAUUUUUGCGUACUGUUCAUGAGAUGCACCUUUGAGUUAACGGCGUUAGUCUGCCGUUAGUCGUGUUUUACUAUUUUACCCUUAAUACGUAAUUUUCGACAUAAAUUCCAAAAAAAAAAAAAAUAUCUCAACUUCUUUCUCUUUCUCUUUCUCUCUCCUCUCCGAUGUUCUUCCUCCUGCUCUCUGGUCGCCGGCGGCGUCCGACUCCUGCUCUCUGACCGUCGACGAAAGUCGAUCCUCUCCUUCCCCUUUCCGACGUCCUUAUUCGCCGCUGUCGAAUUUGCCCGUCGUGAGUGCCGCACCUGCUGCAAGAAUGUGUAUGACUAGUAUGCAUUUGUUUAUGCAUUUCUUUUCGCUCAGAAGGUUUCUUAGGUUCACGUUUCGCAGCCCAAGCUCGAAGAGGAGGUUCAAAGUGUUUGCUGGCAACAUCAGGUGGAGGUAAAUCUUGGCAAGUACAAGAAGACAUUUCUCCCUAAGCAAAGAAGGCUUGUUGUAACAAGUGUUCCACAAUGAAUCAACCAGUUGCCUAUCAAGUUCCUCGAACAGUUGCAUCAAGUUCAAUUCAAUCAAUUUCUUAUUGGAUUUGUUGUUUGAGCAUCUCAAUUUUCUUUGAUUAUUACUUCUAUUUCAUGUUUUAGGUUUAACUUUUUGGUUGAUUAAUUUGAUUAAUUAGGUGAACGCUUUGUGGAAAUUAAAUUCUGCAGUUUAAAAGCAUUUUGCGUAUUUGGUGCAA